RNAcentral lists this long non-coding RNA (3137 nucleotides) under Arachis ipaensis. RNAcentral's name for it is "long non-coding RNA (AIPA_LNC002471)". Lineage: Eukaryota; Viridiplantae; Streptophyta; Magnoliopsida; Fabales; Fabaceae. The record is from RNAcentral.
GUAAUUAUUAAUAAUAAUAAGUAUUAUAAAAAAGAAUUCAAAUGAAACUCAGAUACAACUCCUAUCCCUUUGUAUAAAAUAAAAUCUUAUGAAAGCAACUCAACUCAUAAACUUAACUCAUAAAUAAGUCUAAUAAUCGCCUGCAACUUCAAAUUGAGUCUUCGAACCUGUGUCACUAAAAGGGUGGAAAAUUUUUGGGGUGAUAACAAACUACACAUUCUCAGUAGGAAAUGGGAAUGCCGUAAAAGUAAUGAAAUAAAAUGGAAAUAUUUAACUUUUCUUUAACUUUCUAAAUUCAAAACAGAUUUCAAUCACAAAAGUAGUCAUUAACCAUCUCUCAACCACAUAAUCAUUUCUCAACCACAACAUUUCACCUCAAUACAUCCGUGAACUAAUAGCACAAGUAAGAGAUCCAAACCAACACACAAACAAGUCACAAUAAGACAAACAGCACAUCCACAGAGAAAUAAUACAAGCAAACACAACCAAAUGCACAUGCACAAACAAUAUGAUGCAUGUUUGUCCUAAACAGACUAUGAGUUCACGUGUCGGUUUACACCCUGCAGCCCGACAUUACCUAGGAACAAGUCCCAGAUAUGUUUUCCCUUUGUGUCUUUAGUGCAUACGUGUCGGUGGUAAGAAUACCACUCCUUUGUGACUACCGGUAGUCAGUGCAAAACUCGACCCCAUAAUAUACGCACAAGGGCAAAUAGUGAUCCUCAGUUCAUGGGUUUCCCCGAGAUCAACAUACAACAAAAUAGAGAUCCUCAGCUCAUGGGUUUCUCCAAGAUCAAUACACAACAAACACGAUCCUCAGUUCAUGGGUUAUUCCCGAGAUCAAUACACAACAAACAACGAUCCUCAGUUCAUGAGUUAUCCCCGAGAUCAAUGAUUAUCAAUUUAUAGGUUUUUCCUGUAUUUAAAACCAUUAAUUAAAACCAAAACCUCUUUCCAUUCUUUAAACUUUCCUUAACUUUCUUAGACAUUCUUUCCCAAAAACCUCAACCACCAAAUCAUAAUUCUUUUCUAUAUAAAUCGAACUUAAAAUAGUAUAAUUCUUUCCUUAAUAAAUUGAACUCAAAAUAGAAUAAAUAAAACUCAACACAAAAUCUAUUCUUUUCAAUAAAUUCAAAAUCAAAUAGCAUAGUUUCCCAAAUCCAAGUUUUUAUAAAAUAACAUUUCAAACAAGACCUCGAAUUUUAUAAAAUUUCAGUAGCACCUUCCCUAAAACUCGGACUUAACCACCCUUACGGGUUCCCUCUUCCUCAAUAAUUCACCAGUCAUUUUCUCAACAAUUAUCAAAAUAGCAAUUCUCAAUAGCCAUCUAAUCAUAAUCCAGUUUAACGACUAAUAUCCUAUCAUCAAUUAAAACCAGAAUUUCCAUAAACCAUUCUUUAAAAGUAAAUCAGUCCAAAUUCAAGAAUUCAUAACUAAUAUUCCAAAAACCAACCUUUCAUAUCUCUAGUUAUUUUAAAGUUAUUUAGUUAUUAGCAAAGUUACUAUUUUGUUCUAAAGAUCAGAUUUCAAGAAAAUAGUUCAGUCAACCUUCAAUCCUUUAACCGUCCUCAAAAUCAAUUCUAGUUAACCAUAAAUCAACAAUAACAACCAUCACAGCACCAUCAAGCAAAUCAGUCGAUAAUAACCAAUUAAGCAUAAUCAGAAAAAAUCAAGAUUCUCUGCAAUUCCAAAACAACCAGAGAACGAAUAUCAAUCACAGCCUCAAACUAAAAUCAUUCUCAUCAAUUAAUCACUCACGACAACAAAAACCAGUCACAAUCACAACCAUAAUCUAAACUCAAUUCAUCAAUUAUCAAAACGUCAGAUUUUCAAUAAUUAACUCAUCAUAUUUCAAUUUAAUAAGUAAUAUCAAAUAAAUCACCAUUCACAGCCAAUUUUAACCAAUUCCAACCCUUUGCAAAUCCAUUUCACAGCCAUUCCAAUAUAUUAAAUUUCCAAUUCAAUAUUAAACAAUUCAAAAUAAUUCAUUCAAGAUCAGAAUCUCAGCCAAUUCAUCGCGAAAAUCAAUAAUUCAAAACACAAUUCACAACCGCAUCUAAUUUCACUUAUAAUUUAAAGUAUUCACAACCGUAUCUAAUUCUAAUUCAUAAUUCGGAAUAAUCACAACAGUAUUCAAUUCUAAUCAUAAUUCACAAUAAUCACAACUAACUAUUCUCAAACACAUUUCAAGCAAUUCACAUCAAUUAAUCAAUUCUUAACCAUUAUUAAGUAUUUGCAAUUAUCCAAUUAACUUUGUAGGCAUUCCAAAUUAAAAAUGUUUUUUAAAAAUAAAUUCCCUACCUCCGAGUGUCGAAAUCCAUAGAAAUUGGGAAUGCUGCACAACUCUAAUAGCAGCCAUAUCAUCUCAAGAUAGUAGCAGCAACAAUUUGGCAUCUCCGAUCGACGGCAGCAGCACUCUGUCAGAUUGCGGCACCCGUUCUGUCCCCUAGGCAGCAACCACAGUGGUUCUGGGCAGCUCCAGUAGCAACCACCAUGGCAUCUUGGCUUCAGCAGCGGUUUCCGAUGGCAACGGCAGCGUGCAGCUCGACGGGAACCUCUGUCUCCAGCAACGACAGCAGCUAUACAAGCCCCUGUCUUCCCUGUCGCGUCUCUCUUCUCUGCGAAAUCCUAUCUCUCUCUUCGUGCUCGUUGGCAGUGGCAGAAGUGGUGGCGACGAACCCUAGCAGUGGCGGCGGCGGACCGGUCGCGGUGGAGGCAGCAGCGCACACCGCAUCUCCUCUCCAGUCUCGGACGCGAGCUCUCUCUCCUCCACCCUUCAUGCUCGACGGCGACUAUGACGGCGAUGACUACGGCCCACUUCGAAGCAGCGACGACGGCGACCUCGUGGCAGCAGAGCGCAACGAGAAUCAGAAUCGACGGCAACUUCUCCUCGACGGCAACGAGCUCGCACCAACGGCUGGACGGCAAUGAGCGUGAAUGACGGUGCAGGCAAGACGCGAUGGGGGGCGGCGAGCUGGACGGCGCCAGCAGCGUGGCUCUUUUCUGAUCGCAGCUCCGUUCCUUCUCUCUUUAGUUCUCUUUUCUUUGUUUCUUUCCUACUGUUGCUGUGUUGUGUUUGAGAAAGGGGAAAACUGAAAAGUGUGUGCGUUUAGCCAAAAAGGGGGUGGGGUGCGGCUGAG